RNAcentral lists this ribosomal RNA (664 nucleotides) under Candida albicans. RNAcentral describes it as "eukaryotic LSU rRNA". The stretch from base 127 to 280 matches the Rfam family "5.8S ribosomal RNA". The record is from RNAcentral. Lineage: Eukaryota; Fungi; Ascomycota; Pichiomycetes; Serinales; Debaryomycetaceae.
UGCACCACAUGUGUUUUUCUUUGAAACAAACUUGCUUUGGCGGUGGGCCCAGCCUGCCGCCAGAGGUCUAAACUUACAACCAAUUUUUUAUCAACUUGUCACACCAGAUUAUUACUUAAUAGUCAAAACUUUCAACAACGGAUCUCUUGGUUCUCGCAUCGAUGAAGAACGCAGCGAAAUGCGAUACGUAAUAUGAAUUGCAGAUAUUCGUGAAUCAUCGAAUCUUUGAACGCACAUUGCGCCCUCUGGUAUUCCGGAGGGCAUGCCUGUUUGAGCGUCGUUUCUCCCUCAAACCGCUGGGUUUGGUGUUGAGCAAUACGACUUGGGUUUGCUUGAAAGACGGUAGUGGUAAGGCGGGAUCGCUUUGACAAUGGCUUAGGUCUAACCAAAAACAUUGCUUGCGGCGGUAACGUCCACCACGUAUAUCUUCAAACUUUGACCUCAAAUCAGGUAGGACUACCCGCUGAACUUAAGCAUAUCAAAAACCGGGGAAAAAAAAGGUGCCUUUACUGAAUUUGCUUUAUUUGCACACAAUGUGUUUUUUGCUUUUGAAACAAACUUGCUUCUGGCGGUGGGCCCAGCCUGCCGCCAGAGGUCUAAACUUACAACCAAUUUUUUAUCAACUUGUCACACCAGAUUAUUACUUAAUAGUCAAAACUUUCAC